Molecule: transfer RNA, 74 nt
Filed under: Actinokineospora alba
Lineage: Bacteria; Bacillati; Actinomycetota; Actinomycetes; Pseudonocardiales; Pseudonocardiaceae
Description: Alloactinosynnema alba tRNA
Rfam family: tRNA
About the family: Transfer RNA (tRNA) molecules are approximately 80 nucleotides in length. Their secondary structure includes four short double-helical elements and three loops (D, anti-codon, and T loops).
Source: Rfam by way of RNAcentral
UGCCCUGUAGCUCAGCUGGACAGAGCACCCCGCUACGACCGGGGAGGUCCCUGGUUCGACUCCAGGCAGGGCAA